AAAUGGCGUCAAUAAAGCCCUGGUGUUGUACAUUAACACAGACGGGGAGUGGGUGGCCAAGAUCAUUUUCUAUGGGGCGGAGUGAUUCGAGGAAAGUUGCCCAGGAGCCGGUGUCUGAGUACCGCAUGUCCGCCGUAUAUCUGAGUGACAGCGCGUAUCAUUGGACAUGAAAUCGCGGACUGCGGGGAGGAGCCCCUCACAUCUGUACCAAAGGUGGAACGAGAGAAAACAAAUCUGCGAGGCGUCGUCAGCGGGCAGCCGCCUCCCGCUCUCGCUUCAGUCGGCCAACCCGGGACCGAGAUGUAUAGACGGAUCCAGAGCCCCAGCUGGCCUUCUGCAGGCCACACUACAUUACAAAACUUGUUCUGGCUGUUGGGAACAUCAUCUCUCCAUCACAAGCUCAAAAAAAGUAUUUAUUUAGUAUUCUUUUUCCCUCCCCACAAUCCACCUGUGCUACAUUUUAUGGAAUGCAGGCUGCCGGGUGGAACAGGGGCUGCCCAAACAAAGACAGAUGAAGGACUGCUGAACAGUCAAAAAAAGUGUUCUACCUACAAGCUGAAUCCGAUUACCGGGAGAAUAUUUGGCCUACCUAGGAUUAGAGGGUUUGAACUGGUCGGAGAUUUACAAAGAUGACAUUCUAGUCAAAUUGACAUCGUCUCUCACAUCCAUCUUCAUUUGUUGCAAGAUGUGUCCUUCUGCUUGAGUGGUGAACUCAGUGGUUUGACUGGAGUGAAACAUAGUCAGAGUGACUCUUGGAGGUAGUUUUAGGAUUUAUUGAUGAUACCAUGGAAGGAGGUUUGCUCUAGGCAAACUAGAGUUGCUUUAAAAUGCCAAGGGACACAGAAUUGACAUGACAGCAGGUUUUUCUUUUCUUUUCCCCCUUUUUUGUUUUUUCAUUUUUAAUUCUGGUUGUCGAUGUUGUUGAUGACUUGUUGUAUUGGUGUUCUCAUUGUUGAAUAAAAAGAAAAUUGUAAAAAAAAAAAAUGCCAAGGCAUGCUGCAAGAUAAACAGAGAGGCCCAGUCUGAUGUGAUUGAAACUCCUGACAGGUAGUAUGCUUCUGCGAAGAGUGAGGGAAUACAGACAAAGACCCCCAUCUCCUUAAAGCAGGUUCAGACAGGUAAGUGUGGAGGUGCGGUGGGUUGAAAAUGUGACAAAACUUUCACAACUAGCUGCCGCGCCUCUCCACAGACUAAUUGAAAAGAAAAGUGUCUAAAUGCUAAUGUUCAAGGGUGUGUGACUAAUGGUUAGUUCACUGCAAACAUGCCCCAGGGUGGGCCAGCGAGCUCACAUUAUGAGGAGUUUCAUAGCGGCACUUAGGCUAAUUGUUCAUUUAAAGAAUAAUGAAAUUGAAAUGAAAAUAUGAAUCGUUGAGAGAUUUACUGGGAAGAUAACAAGAUGUUUAGAUGAAGUAGUCUUUUAAGCACACAGCUUAGUGAGAUGCAGAGGUCUUGGCCAGUCUGGCAUCUUUGACAACACACUGAUUACCUCACAGCGCUCCCUACACACUGCUCUCGAUCAUGUUUCAACAGCAGUUUCAUGUCAGUCCCAGUACCGAUGCCAGGGACUUUCUGGAUCAGUGCCGCUGUGCUGGAGGCAAGGUCAGACCACUACCUCAAAGUCUCUCAUAGCUCACCGAAGAGGAACGUCAGCAGAUUUUCAUCUCAGAUAAGGGAAGAAGAAAUGUGGCGGCUUUGCGGAGAGAUGGAGGCUGACCGCCUCGCCAAGUCAUCAUAAAUGAGUAGGAACAGGAUAACCUCUGGGACUUCAAAGACGCACGAUCAGGUGUUACAUAUGACUUCCAUUCGAAAGAUAUCUUCUGUGAUUGUGUGCAUGUGUGUGUUAUGGAGAGUGUGUGUGUGGGUGGGUGUUAUGGAGAGUUUGUGUGUGUGUUAUGGAGAGUGUGUGUGUGUGUGUUAUGGAGAGUGUGUUCGUGUGUGUUAUGGAGAGUGUGUGUGUGUGUUAUUGAGAGUGUGUAUGUGUUUGUGUGUUAUGGAGAGUGUGUAUGUGUUUGUGUGUUAUGGAGAGUGUGUGUGUUUGUUAUGGAGAGUGUGUGUAGAUGGGACUGGAGCACUGUUUGAGCAUGUCCCUGGAGAAAAAAAGGAUAGAGAAGUGUGUGUGUGUGUGUGUGUGCUUGGUUGAGUGAAAGAUGGAAGGAAUCUGAAGAGUGCAAAUCCAGUGGUGCAUUCCCCCUCUCGCCCUUAUAAAAACACCCGGAGCGAGUGGCUUUCUAGGGGAACGAGGUUCAACUCGAUGAGGGGAAUUCCCCUGGGAGGUUCCCAGUAGAGUCGUGGGGAGGAGAAAACUCUGCCUUUCUCCUUUGUAGAGAGAUAGAGAGC
Clupea harengus (Atlantic herring) is the source of this 2337-nucleotide long non-coding RNA. Lineage: Eukaryota; Metazoa; Chordata; Actinopteri; Clupeiformes; Clupeidae. The record is from Ensembl.